GACGAACGCUGGCGGCGUGCUUAACACAUGCAAGUCGAACGGUGACGCGCCUUCCUUUUUGGUGGGUGUGGAUGAGUGGCGAACGGGUGAGUAACACGUGAGUAACCUGCCUUCUUCUUCUGGAUAACCGCAUGAAAGUGUGGCUAAUACGGGAUAUUCUGUGUCUGUCGCAUGAUGGGUCUGGGAAAGAUUUUGUUUCGGUGGGGGAUGGGCUCGCGGCCUCUCAGCUUGGUGGUGGGGGGAUGGCCUAACAAGGCGGUGACGGGUAGCCGGCCUGAGAUGAUCGGCCAUCAUAGUGGGACUGCGAGAUGAACAAGCCUACGAGGGGCAGCAGCAGGGAAGAAUAGUGCAUGAGGGGCGGAAGGCUGAUGCAGCGACGCGUGGGUAGAGAUGGCGGUCGGCGGGUAGAGAACUUCUGUCGGGAGUGAAGCGGGGCAGGUUCAUAUGUCGGUGUGUUGACGGUAGCUGAAGAAGAAGCACCGGCUAACUACGUG
Molecule: ribosomal RNA, 494 nt
Filed under: uncultured bacterium
Lineage: Bacteria
Description: partial 16S ribosomal RNA
Rfam family: Bacterial small subunit ribosomal RNA
Source: RNAcentral